This is a long non-coding RNA of Artibeus jamaicensis (Jamaican fruit-eating bat), 1780 nucleotides long. RefSeq lists it as uncharacterized. The transcript is spliced from 4 exons. Lineage: Eukaryota; Metazoa; Chordata; Mammalia; Chiroptera; Phyllostomidae. The record is from RefSeq and is a predicted model, not a curated record.
AGUUAUAAGCACAUAUUGCCGGGACGGUUACAAAGACGGUGACGGUAGCCCCUGUGUGUCUAGCACUUCACCUUCAGAAAAACACUUUCAAACGGAAAAUGAAACUGGGCGGCCUGGCCAGGCACAUUCUGGCUGCCGCUCUCAGGUCCCCGCCGCAGCCCUUGAUGCUGGGCUGGAACGGACACGGGUCCUCUCCCGUGGACUCUGGGCACCUGAGUCACGGAGGCGUUGCGUCUGCACCGUCCCCACGGCAGCGUCUGGCCCUCCGAUCCCGGCACCUUCCUACAGAGGAGACAUUUCCCCAGGGUGCGAGCGUGUUUCCUGGCGUUCCGAAAACAUUUUUGCCAUUCCUGGAGGGGGUGCCUGCAUCCAGGGUGGAAUGGCAACGAGUGAAGAUUUUGUUGGGUUUGCUUUGAAACAGUGCUGUUUGCACAGGGUCCAGCGGGCCAUUUACAGCCCCUUGAUAACAACAGAUGGGAACAAAUCUACAAAUCAAAUGCGUUUGAACCGAAGUCUCUUUCUUCAAAAAAACGCACAGCCCUUGCACGGGGAUCAGUCUGAAACACAGACAAGACCUUUGCGCGGGGAGCCCGGCAGACUCGGCUCUCGGCUGGUCAGAAAGCCCUUCCUCAAGCCGUGAAAACAGCCCUGGGGACGACUCGGGGCCGACGCCUGUCUCCCAAGAGGAGCAAGUGGAGAAACUUUGCAGGCCCCAUCCUGGCUCCCAGGAGCCCGCCUCUUGCCAGCUUGGCUGAUGGAAACCAGAGCCUGGCAGGGGUGCCAGCCAGCCCUUUGUACCCGUCCCCCUGGCGUCUGGGAGCACGGUGGAGAGGCCUGUGCAGCAGUCAUCCCUCGCCCUGGAAACCUGCAGCCUCAACACUCGUUUGUGCAGCUCGGGGAGAGGACUGCAGGGGUGUGGGGGGAGGCACCUCCUGACCAGGGGAAGCGUCCAGCGAAAAAGCAGCGGAAAAAGCAGUCUCCCAAACCUGGGGGGCCAUGGGGACCACUGAGCCUGCAUGCCCCGUACACCAGUCUCUCUCCAUGAGCCACACGAGGCCACUGAGCCUUUGAAAUGCGGAGUGUGUGAGCGACUGAGAUGUAUGUCUAAAACGCACUCUGGAUUUCAAAGACGCAGCAUGAAAAAAAUGUAAAAUAUCUCAUCAAUAAUUUUGUAUUAAUUACAUACUGAAAUAUGUGUGUGUAUAUAUAUGUAUAUAUAUAUAUCAGAUUAAAUAAAUGGUAUUAUGGCAGUGAAUGUCACCUAUUUUCACUUUUUAAAAACAAAAACUGUGGCUGCUGCCACAUGUUAAAUUGCAGAUGCCGGCUCUGACCGCUGUUACGUACGACUCAGGUGGGUCGGGCAUCAUACACAAAGCAAAAGAGAGGUCACCAGUCCGACUCCUGGUCGGGGCACAUGCCUGGGUUGCGGGCUCGGUCCCGGCUUGGGGUGCAUACAAGAGGCAGUGGAUGAAUGUUUCUCUCUCACAUCAGCGUUUCGUUCUCUUUCUUCCUCCCUUCCCCUCUCCUAAAAAGAAAUAAAAUCUCUUGAAAAACUGCAGAGGCGGCCGUGUGUGUGGCCUGUGGCAUGUUUGUACAGCACAGAGCUGCGUCGGACUGUGGGUAGCGGAGGCUGUGAACUUCCAAGCCGGGAGAAGGCGGAUGGAAGCGGCCAUCACACAUCCUGCCCCGUGACAACCCACAGCCGAGGGCCAGGAAUACGAGGCCCUCGCGGCCCUACACAACCUCGGCCUCAUCGUCGGUAUGGAGCCUUGCACACCCA